CCGAAAUUUAAAACUCACAACGCGAGUCUCGUGCGGAAGCAAAUAUGACUGCCGAGACUUUGUGACUCUUCAAGUCUUCCUUUGCUCAAGUCAAACCACACUCGUAAAGCACAUGUGACGAGUCUGUGGUGAGCAUCGGGAGCACCUGCGUUUCCUUCGGGAUUCACAGUCUAAAAAACGAAUUGUAAAAGUAUAUAUAUAAACAAAAAAAGACGAAAAAAAU
Molecule: unclassified non-coding RNA, 223 nt
Filed under: soil metagenome
Description: partial internal transcribed spacer 1
Source: RNAcentral